RNAcentral lists this ribosomal RNA (263 nucleotides) under uncultured bacterium. RNAcentral's name for it is "partial 16S ribosomal RNA". It matches the Rfam family "Bacterial small subunit ribosomal RNA", at positions 793 to 1055 of the family's 1533-position model. The record is from RNAcentral.
GUCCACGCCGUAAACGUUGGGCACUAGGUGUGGGCUUCAACCGAACGAAGUCCGUGCCGUCGCUAACGCAUUAAGUGCCCCGCCUGGGGAGUACGGCCGCAAGGCUAAAACUCAAAGGAAUUGACGGGGGCCCGCACAAGCAGCGGAGCGUGUUGCUUAAUUCGAUGCAACGCGAAGAACCUUACCUGGGCUUGACAUGUAGGGAAAAGCCGUAGAGAUACGGUGUCCUUCGGGCCGUUACACAGGUGGUGCAUGGCUGUCGU